UUAAGCGACUAAGCGUACACGGUGGAUGCCCUGGCAGUCAGAGGCGAUGAAGGACGUGCUAAUCUGCGAUAAGCGUCGGUAAGGUGAUAUGAACCGUUAUAACCGGCGAUUUCCGAAUGGGGAAACCCAGUGUGAUUCGUCACACUAUCAUUAACUGAAUCCAUAGGUUAAUGAGGCGAACCGGGGGAACUGAAACAUCUAAGUACCCCGAGGAAAAGAAAUCAACCGAGAUUCCCCCAGUAGCGGCGAGCGAACGGGGAGCAGCCCAGAGCCUGAAUCAGUGUGUGUGUUAGUGGAAGCGUCUGGAAAGGCGCGCGAUACAGGGUGACAGCCCCGUACACAAAAAUGCACAUGCUGUGAGCUCGAUGAGUAGGGCGGGACACGUGGUAUCCUGUCUGAAUAUGGGGGGACCAUCCUCCAAGGCUAAAUACUCCUGACUGACCGAUAGUGAACCAGUACCGUGAGGGAAAGGCGAAAAGAACCCCGGCGAGGGGAGUGAAAAAGAACCUGAAACCGUGUACGUACAAGCAGUGGGAGCACGCUUAGGCGUGUGACUGCGUACCUUUUGUAUAAUGGGUCAGCGACUUAUAUUCUGUAGCAAGGUUAACCGAAUAGGGGAGCCGAAGGGAAACCGAGUCUUAACUGGGCGUUAAGUUGCAGGGUAUAGACCCGAAACCCGGUGAUCUAGCCAUGGGCAGGUUGAAGGUUGGGUAACACUAACUGGAGGACCGAACCGACUAAUGUUGAAAAAUUAGCGGAUGACUUGUGGCUGGGGGUGAAAGGCCAAUCAAACCGGGAGAUAGCUGGUUCUCCCCGAAAGCUAUUUAGGUAGCGCCUCGUGAAUUCAUCUCCGGGGGUAGAGCACUGUUUCGGCAAGGGGGUCAUCCUGACUUACCAACCCGAUGCAAACUGCGAAUACCGGAGAAUGUUAUCACGGGAGACACACGGCGGGUGCUAACGUCCGUCGUGAAGAGGGAAACAACCCAGACCGCCAGCUAAGGUCCCAAAGUCAUGGUUAAGUGGGAAACGAUGUGGGAAGGCCCAGACAGCCAGGAUGUUGGCUUAGAAGCAGCCAUCAUUUAAAGAAAGCGUAAUAGCUCACUGGUCGAGUCGGCCUGCGCGGAAGAUGUAACGGGGCUAAACCAUGCACCGAAGCUGCGGCAGCGACGCUGAUGCGUUGUUGGGUAGGGGAGCGUUCUGUAAGCCUGUGAAGGUGUGCUGUGAGGCAUGCUGGAGGUAUCAGAAGUGCGAAUGCUGACAUAAGUAACGAUAAAGCGGGUGAAAAGCCCGCUCGCCGGAAGACCAAGGGUUCCUGUCCAACGUUAAUCGGGGCAGGGUGAGUCGACCCCUAAGGCGAGGCCGAAAGGCGUAGUCGAUGGGAAACAGGUUAAUAUUCCUGUACUUGGUGUUACUGCGAAGGGGGGACGGAGAAGGCUAUGUUGGCCGGGCGACGGUUGUCCCGGUUUAAGCGUGUAGGCUGGUUUUCCAGGCAAAUCCGGAAAACUAAGGCUGAGGCGUGAUGACGAGGCACUACGGUGCUGAAGCAACAAAUGCCCUGCUUCCAGGAAAAGCCUCUAAGCAUCAGGUAACAUCAAAUCGUACCCCAAACCGACACAGGUGGUCAGGUAGAGAAUACCAAGGCGCUUGAGAGAACUCGGGUGAAGGAACUAGGCAAAAUGGUGCCGUAACUUCGGGAGAAGGCACGCUGAUAUGUAGGUGAAGUCCCUCGCGGAUGGAGCUGAAAUCAGUCGAAGAUACCAGCUGGCUGCAACUGUUUAUUAAAAACACAGCACUGUGCAAACACGAAAGUGGACGUAUACGGUGUGACGCCUGCCCGGUGCCGGAAGGUUAAUUGAUGGGGUUAGCGCAAGCGAAGCUCUUGAUCGAAGCCCCGGUAAACGGCGGCCGUAACUAUAACGGUCCUAAGGUAGCGAAAUUCCUUGUCGGGUAAGUUCCGACCUGCACGAAUGGCGUAAUGAUGGCCAGGCUGUCUCCACCCGAGACUCAGUGAAAUUGAACUCGCUGUGAAGAUGCAGUGUACCCGCGGCAAGACGGAAAGACCCCGUGAACCUUUACUAUAGCUUGACACUGAACAUUGAGCCUUGAUGUGUAGGAUAGGUGGGAGGCUUUGAAGUGUGGACGCCAGUCUGCAUGGAGCCGACCUUGAAAUACCACCCUUUAAUGUUUGAUGUUCUAACGUUGACCCGUAAUCCGGGUUGCGGACAGUGUCUGGUGGGUAGUUUGACUGGGGCGGUCUCCUCCUAAAGAGUAACGGAGGAGCACGAAGGUUGGCUAAUCCUGGUCGGACAUCAGGAGGUUAGUGCAAUGGCAUAAGCCAGCUUGACUGCGAGCGUGACGGCGCGAGCAGGUGCGAAAGCAGGUCAUAGUGAUCCGGUGGUUCUGAAUGGAAGGGCCAUCGCUCAACGGAUAAAAGGUACUCCGGGGAUAACAGGCUGAUACCGCCCAAGAGUUCAUAUCGACGGCGGUGUUUGGCACCUCGAUGUCGGCUCAUCACAUCCUGGGGCUGAAGUAGGUCCCAAGGGUAUGGCUGUUCGCCAUUUAAAGUGGUACGCGAGCUGGGUUUAGAACGUCGUGAGACAGUUCGGUCCCUAUCUGCCGUGGGCGCUGGAGAACUGAGGGGGGCUGCUCCUAGUACGAGAGGACCGGAGUGGACGCAUCACUGGUGUUCGGGUUGUCAUGCCAAUGGCACUGCCCGGUAGCUAAAUGCGGAAGAGAUAAGUGCUGAAAGCAUCUAAGCACGAAACUUGCCCCGAGAUGAGUUCUCCCUGACUCCUUGAGAGUCCUGAAGGAACGUUGAAGACGACGACGUUGAUAGGCCGGGUGUGUAAGCGCAGCGAUGCGUUGAGCUAACCGGUACUAAUGAACCGUGAGGCUUAACCUU
This 2902-nucleotide ribosomal RNA is filed under the name Escherichia coli. Its description in RNAcentral is "bacterial LSU rRNA". It matches the Rfam family "Bacterial large subunit ribosomal RNA". Lineage: Bacteria; Pseudomonadati; Pseudomonadota; Gammaproteobacteria; Enterobacterales; Enterobacteriaceae. The record is from RNAcentral.